RNAcentral lists this unclassified non-coding RNA (277 nucleotides) under Glomeraceae sp. Its description in RNAcentral is "partial internal transcribed spacer 2". The record is from RNAcentral. Lineage: Eukaryota; Fungi; Glomeromycota; Glomeromycetes; Glomerales; Glomeraceae.
GUGAAUCAUCGAAUUUUUGAACGCAAAUUGCACUCUCCGCUAAUAGUAUGCCUGUCUGAGGUUCAGCCUAUAAAAAAUCGACAUCGUUGCUUUGGCGCUGGGGCGUGCGUGUGAAAGUGGGUCAUCUUAAAUCUUUUGGUUUUAAGCGACGUAAAAUUUUCUGUUUUAUUCCAUGAACUUUUCUAAGAGUGAUGUCUUUACACGUUUAAUGUAUCUAUUUUGAUUAGACGUUGCCAUCAUAUCGGAUCGCGCCCAUAAUCUUGCAUUAACUUACCUC